CCGGGGGGCGUGUCCUGGUCGGGGGGCGUGGCCGGCGCGCUGGGGGCGUGGCCCUGGUUCCACGGGACGCUGCCGCGCAUGCGCGCCGCGCAGCUGGUGCUGCAGGGGGGGCGGGGCGGCCACGGCGCCUUCCUGGUGCGGCAGAGCGAGACCCGGAGGGGCGACUUCGUGCUCACCUUCAACGUGCUGGGCAAGGCCAAGCACCUGCGCCUCUCGCUGAACGAGGCGGCGCAGUGCCGCGUGCAGCACCUCUGGUUCCAGAGCAUCUUCGACAUGCUGGAGCACUUCCGGGUGCACCCCAUCCCCCUGGAGUCGGGGGGCGCCGGGGACGUCACCCUGCUCAGCUACGUGGUGGCCUCCCAGCGGCUCUGCGGUCGCUCGAGCCUCGCCGACCCCUCCCCCACCGCCGCCGCCCCUCCCCCACCCCCGCACUGACCCCUCCCCCUCCCCCUUUUGGGGCUCUUUUGGACAAAAAAAACUCCGGAAAAGACAAAAAAAAAAUAAAUAAAAAAGGAAAAAAAAAAAAUUCCCGAUUUUGGUGCUGUCGUGGGGGGGGAGGGGCGGGGUGGGGGAGGGGCCGCGGCUCCGGGGGGUCCCGGGUCCCAAUUUUGGGUUUUUUUCCCCAAUUUUGGGGGGUUUAUUUCCAUUUUUUGGGGGAUUUUUUCCCAAUUUUGAGGGUUUUAUUUCAAUUUCUUGGGGAUUUUUCCCCAUUUUUGGGGAUUUUUUCCCCAUUUUGGG
RNAcentral lists this long non-coding RNA (738 nucleotides) under Lonchura striata (white-rumped munia). RNAcentral's name for it is "domestica (Bengalese finch) lncRNA (ENSLSDG00000002719.1)". Lineage: Eukaryota; Metazoa; Chordata; Aves; Passeriformes; Estrildidae. The record is from RNAcentral.